RNAcentral lists this ribosomal RNA (467 nucleotides) under uncultured bacterium. RNAcentral's name for it is "partial 16S ribosomal RNA". It matches the Rfam family "Bacterial small subunit ribosomal RNA", at positions 28 to 506 of the family's 1533-position model. The record is from RNAcentral.
GACGAACGCUGGCGGCGUGCUUAACACAUGCAAGUCGAACGGAAAGGCCCUGCUUUUGUGGGGUGCUCGAGUGGCGAACGGGUGAGUAACACGUGAGUAACCUGCCCUUGACUUUGGGAUAACUUCAGGAAACUGGGGCUAAUACCGGAUAGGAGCUCCUGCUGCAUGGUGGGGGUUGGAAAGUUUCGGCGGUUGGGGAUGGACUCGCGGCUUAUCAGCUUGUUGGUGGGGUAGUGGCUUACCAAGGCUUUGACGGGUAGCCGGCCUGAGAGGGUGACCGGCCACAUGGGGCCUGAGAUACGGCCCAGACUCCACCGGGAGCAAGAAGGGGGGAAUAUUGCACAAGGGGCGGAGGCCUGAUGAAGCAACGCCGCGUGCGGGAGGACGGCCUUCGGGUGGUAACCGGCUUUCGCCUGUGACGAAGCGUGAGUGACGGUAAUGGGGAAAGAAGCACCGGCUAACUACGU